GACGAACGCUGGCGGCGUGCUUAACACAUGCAAGUCGUACGGUAAGGCCCUUUCGGGGGUCCACGAGUGGCGAACGGGUGAGUAACACGUGAGUAACCUGCCCACAACUUUGGGAUAACGCUAGGAAACUGGUGCUAAUACUGGAUAUGUGCUCCUUCUGCAUGGUGGGGGUUGGAAAGCUACGGCGGUUGUGGAUGGACUCGCGGCCUAUCCGCUUGUUGGUGGGGUAGUGGCCUACCAAGGCGGCGACGGGUAGCCGGCCUGAGAGGGUGACCGGCCACAUUGGGACUGAGAUACGGCCCAGACUCCGACGGGAGGCAGCAGUGGGGAAUAGGGCAAAAUGGGCGCAAGCCUGAGGCAGCAACGCCGCGUGCGGGAUGACGGCCUUCGGGUUGGAAACCGCUUUCAGCAGGGACGAAGCUUUUUGUGACGGUACCUGCAGAAGAAGCACCGGCUAACUACGUG
RNAcentral lists this ribosomal RNA (465 nucleotides) under uncultured bacterium. RNAcentral describes it as "partial 16S ribosomal RNA". It matches the Rfam family "Bacterial small subunit ribosomal RNA", at positions 28 to 507 of the family's 1533-position model. The record is from RNAcentral.